GGUGGCUCAGUGGUAGAGUGCUUGUCUUGCGUGCAUGAGAACCUGGGUUCGAUUCCUCAGCACCA
RNAcentral lists this transfer RNA (65 nucleotides) under Dipodomys ordii (Ord's kangaroo rat). It matches the Rfam family "tRNA". From Rfam's summary of the family: Transfer RNA (tRNA) molecules are approximately 80 nucleotides in length. Their secondary structure includes four short double-helical elements and three loops (D, anti-codon, and T loops). Further hydrogen bonds mediate the characteristic L-shaped molecular structure. tRNAs have two regions of fundamental functional importance: the anti-codon, which is responsible for specific mRNA codon recognition, and the 3' end, to which the tRNAs corresponding amino acid is attached (by aminoacyl-tRNA synthetases). tRNAs cope with the degeneracy of the genetic code in two manners: having more than one tRNA (with a specific anti-codon) for a particular amino acid; and 'wobble' base-pairing, i.e. permitting non-standard base-pairing at the 3rd anti-codon position. The record is from Rfam by way of RNAcentral. Lineage: Eukaryota; Metazoa; Chordata; Mammalia; Rodentia; Heteromyidae.